AUUGAACGCUCGCGGGAUGCUUUACACAUGCAAGUCGAACGGCAGCGCGGACUUCGGUCUGGCGGCGAGUGGCGAACGGGUGAGUAAUGUAUCGGAACGUGCCCAGUAGCGGGGGAUAACUACGCGAAAGCGUAGCUAAUACCGCAUACGCCCUACGGGGGAAAGCAGGGGAUCGUAAGACCUUGCACUAUUGGAGCGGCCGAUAUCGGAUUAGCUAGUUGGUGAGGUAACGGCUCACCAAGGCGACGAUCCGUAGCUGGUUUGAGAGGACGACCAGCCACACUGGGACUGAGACACGGCCCAGACUCCUACGGGAGGCAGCAGUGGGGAAUUUUGGACAAUGGGGGCAACCCUGAUCCAGCCAUCCCGCGUGUGCGAUGAAGGCCCUCGGGUUGUAAAGCACUUUUGGCAGGAAAGAAACGUCGCGGGCUAAUACCCCGUGGAACUGACGGUACCUGCAGAAUAAGCACCGGCUAACUACGUG
Molecule: ribosomal RNA, 484 nt
Filed under: uncultured bacterium
Lineage: Bacteria
Description: partial 16S ribosomal RNA
Rfam family: Bacterial small subunit ribosomal RNA
Source: RNAcentral